GAUGAACGCUGGCGGCGUGCCUAAUACAUGCAAGUCGAGCGAACAGACGAGGAGCUUGCUCCUCUGACGUUAGCGGCGGACGGGUGAGUAACACGUGGAUAACCUACCUAUAAGACUGGGAUAACUUCGGGAAACCGGAGCUAAUACCGGAUAAUAUAUUGAACCGCAUGGUUCAAUAGUGAAAGACGGUUUUGCUGUCACUUAUAGAUGGAUCCGCGCCGCAUUAGCUAGUUGGUAAGGUAACGGCUUACCAAGGCGACGAUGCGUAGCCGACCUGAGAGGGUGAUCGGCCACACCGGAACUGAGACACGGUCCAGACUCCUACGGGAGGCAGCAGUAGGGAAUCUUCCGCAAUGGGCGAAAGCCUGACGGAGCAACGCCGCGUGAGUGAUGAAGGUCUUCUGAUCGUAAAACUCUGUUAUUAGGGAAGAACAAAUGUGUAAGUAACUAUGCACGUCUUGACGGUACCUAAUCAGAAAGCCACGGCUAACUACGUG
This 497-nucleotide ribosomal RNA is filed under the name uncultured bacterium. RNAcentral's name for it is "partial 16S ribosomal RNA". It matches the Rfam family "Bacterial small subunit ribosomal RNA", at positions 28 to 507 of the family's 1533-position model. The record is from RNAcentral.